AUUGAACGCUGGCGGCAGGCCUAACACAUGCAAGUCGAGCGGCAGCGGAAAGUAGCUUGCUACUUUGCCGGCGAGCGGCGGACGGGUGAGUAAUGUCUGGGAAACUGCCUGAUGGAGGGGGAUAACUACUGGAAACGGUAGCUAAUACCGCAUGACCUCGAAAGAGCAAAGUGGGGGAUCUUCGGACCUCACGCCAUCGGAUGUGCCCAGAUGGGAUUAGCUAGUAGGUGAGGUAAUGGCUCACCUAGGCGACGAUCCCUAGCUGGUCUGAGAGGAUGACCAGCCACACUGGAACUGAGACACGGUCCAGACUCCUACGGGAGGCAGCAGUGGGGAAUAUUGCACAAUGGGCGCAAGCCUGAUGCAGCCAUGCCGCGUGUGUGAAGAAGGCCUUAGGGUUGUAAAGCACUUUCAGCGAGGAGGAAGGCAUCAUACUUAAUACGUGUGGUGAUUGACGUUACUCGCAGAAGAAGCACCGGCUAACUCCGUGCCAGCAGCCGCGGUAAUACGGAGGGUGCAAGCGUUAAUCGGAAUUACUGGGCGUAAAGCGCACGCAGGCGGUUUGUUAAGUCAGAUGUGAAAUCCCCCGCGCUUAACGUGGGAACUGCAUUUGAAACUGGCAAGCUAGAGUCUUGUAGAGGGGGGUAGAAUUCCAGGUGUAGCGGUGAAAUGCGUAGAGAUCUGGAGGAAUACCGGUGGCGAAGGCGGCCCCCCUGGACAAGACUGACGCUCGGUGCGAAAGCGUGGGGAGCAAACACG
This 759-nucleotide ribosomal RNA is filed under the name uncultured Enterobacteriaceae bacterium. Its description in RNAcentral is "bacterial SSU rRNA". It matches the Rfam family "Bacterial small subunit ribosomal RNA", at positions 28 to 776 of the family's 1533-position model. The record is from RNAcentral. Lineage: Bacteria; Pseudomonadati; Pseudomonadota; Gammaproteobacteria; Enterobacterales; Enterobacteriaceae.